Molecule: ribosomal RNA, 508 nt
Filed under: uncultured bacterium
Lineage: Bacteria
Description: partial 16S ribosomal RNA
Rfam family: Bacterial small subunit ribosomal RNA
Source: RNAcentral
CGAACGCUGGCGGCGUGCUUAACACAUGCAAGUCGAACGAAGAGCGAUGGAAGCUUGCUUCUAUCAAUCUUAGUGGCGAACGGGUGAGUAACGCGUAAUCAACCUGCCCUUCAGAGGGGGACAACAGUUGGAAACGACUGCUAAUACCGCAUACGAUCUAAUCUCGGCAUCGAGGAUAGAUGAAAGGUGGCCUCUACAUGUAAGCUAUCACUGAAGGAGGGGAUUGCGUCUGAUUAGCUAGUUGGAGGGGUAACGGCCCACCAAGGCGAUGAUCAGUAGCCGGUCUGAGAGGAUGAACGGCCACAUUGGGACUGAGACACGGCCCAGACUCCUACGGGAGGCAGCAGUGGGGAAUCUUCCGCAAUGGACGAAAGUCUGACGGAGCAACGCCGCGUGAGCGAUGACGGCCUUCGGGUUGUAAAGCUCUGUUAAUCGGGACGAAAGGCCUUCUUGCGAAUAGUGAGAAGGAUUGACGGUACCGGAAUAGAAAGCCACGGCUAACUACGUG